This is a non-coding RNA of Arachis ipaensis, 1079 nucleotides long. The record is from RefSeq and is a predicted model, not a curated record. Lineage: Eukaryota; Viridiplantae; Streptophyta; Magnoliopsida; Fabales; Fabaceae.
AACGAAUAGAAGGUUAGACUAUUCUUUUUUAUUUUUCUGUAAUAUUUUAGUUUUGAUUGAAUAGAGAAAAGUUGAUGUGAUAGAAAAAUCUCUCUUCCAAGAUAAAAUCAUUAUGUGAAAUCCUCACCCAUUCUCGAUAUCCUUCCAAUUUGCCUCAUCCCUAUAAACACCUUUUCCACAGCUAUCCUAUUUUACUUUUUCUUAUCCCAUACCCUAUAAACCCCUUUUCACUCCGGUUCCUAUUUCAAUUUUAGGAGUCUUUUCCACAGGGCAUGAUGGCAUUCGCGUUUUUCUCCUUCCCAGGCUCUCCAUUUCAUGUCACUCAACAUCUCUUUUGUAGACCUGGAAAAGCUACCCACUAUAUGAAGGGAGCGCUAGCUGUCCAUUUCAUGUCACUCAACAGGUCUUCCCAAGCUCUCCAUUCCAUGUCGCUCAAAGACCAUAUAUUUCCCUGCUGCAGUGUUUCUUGGGUUCCCAUGAUGGCGGCGAUGAAGAGCUUCUCUUUCCCAUAUGAUGGUGACAUGGUGAAGAUCUUCUGUCAGAACAUGCAUAGGGAUUUCCAUUGAUUUGACGAAUGUUUCCGGUUAGCAAUCACAGGGCACAGUAGGAUUCACUACACAGCAAUUGAGAUUUGUAUGGUGUCAAAUGAUUCACAACAAUGCCUUUGUAACAUCACUCCUUGGAAGGAGUAUUGGAAAAUAACCGGUAGGGUAAUCAGGAUGUGGAGUUUAUGUGAUCCCAGAAAGGAGACUGACGAACCUGCUUUUCUUCAUAUUGUGGUCAUGGAUAAAUCAAUUCAGUCUAUUUAAUUUUGUUUUGUUUUGAGUUGAAUCAGAUAUUUCAAUAGAAGGUUUUUCAUCAUUAGAAGAAGCUAUGUGAAAUGUGAAAAAUUAUAAUUCACAGUUUUAUGAUUCCAAUUUUUUUUUUUGUUGUUGUUAUUGGUAGGAGGUCUUUCUUAAUUGUUUGGUAUGCAUAAUCUUAUGUGUGUAAAUUAAUGCAUGAAUAUUGCUUGAUAGAAUGUCUAUGUGAAUAAUUUGAAAGCUAAAUUUAAUGCUAUAUAUCUGUCGCAUUAGUACACA